CUGUGCAUCUGCGUCGCAAGUAUAACAAAUGCAGCAGAUGCCAUCAUCAGCAUCUGUUUCUCCUCCACAUCCCAUCCUUUCAAUUUGUUGCACCUUGAUUCGGCUGAUAAGGAGGCUCGAGAAGUUCUCUAGCUGCCCAAGUUUUCCUAGAUUAGCAUCCCCUCUGAGGGAACCAGCCCAGUUAUACUCCAAAAGAUACUGGAAACCACAAUGCAUGGUACUGGGGCAGUCCAUGCUAGCAAAAACAUCCACAACAUCAUUUUGCCCUCCACAUUCUGUCGCCACCCUUGCAUCCAACAAAUUCAAAAUGAUCCCUACAAGAGGUGCUAAUAUCAUGCCUCGAUUUACUUUUUCCAACGAUUGACCAUGUCGUCUAAGUGACAAGUCAAAAAACUCAGCAUCUGCAGCUGAAGUUAUGCGGUUAAGAAUGAAGACAAUUAAUUCAGUUAACCUCCGGAGGUUUGUAUCAGUUCCUGAUAGAAACGCUUGAGGAAUCUCACGGGUAUAGAACUCCAAAAGCCUUGUAAGGUUGCAUGAGAGAUCAAAUAUUACACAACAUUUUCUUUGCUGAAACUCCAAUACCUGGUAUUUUUCUUGCAUUUCCCGAAUAGAAACAGAGAACUCUGUCAUUGUCCAGCUAAGAGUAUUAAAUAGGCGAUUCAGAAAGGCUGAGAACAAUUCUUCAUCAUUGAUGCAAGCUUCCCGCAACAAGUUCUGAAAAACAACCGAUGAUGAUGAUGAUGAUGAUGAUUCUCCUUGCUUUGAAGAACCAAAGCGAGAACCCUUGCACAAACGCAGAAGAAUGUUGGUGACUGGAAUCCAAGAUCUGUUAUCAAAUGCCGACAAUAAUACUUUUGGCAUUCUCUGUGUGGCUGCUUCAUUGCCCUCAAAAACUGCCAAAUAUUCCUUAUAUUGUACCAACACUGAUAUAGAUUGGAGAAGAAGAUCCUUUAGAUCUGCGCUCAAUAUCCUUGGAUCAUUGAAAUGGGUAACUAUGAAAGUAACAAAUGAGGCAAGUCCUUGCUUAAUAAAUAUUGUAGGAGGAACAAAUGGAGGAUCACUCUUGCGCAACACAUGAAAACAGUCAACCAGGGUUUCAAGAUAGAAUUCAGGGAUAUAAAUGAAUAAAGAAUCCACUUUGCUAAGAACCAGAAGCAAUUGGACUAUCCACAUGCAUGUUGCAUACAUUCCUCUCUGCUUCCAAUGAGAGAAAAGGGAGAUGCGAUACCAUGCACAAUGUCUGACACAAUCGAUAACUUCUUCUCGAUAAUCAUUACGAACUUCCUUCAAACGCCGUAAUUGUUCACUACAACCUCUUUCUCUUAUUUGCUUAUCAGUUUCUUCGAGAAGUGAUAUUGACUGUGACUGAUGAGACAUGUAG
Molecule: unclassified non-coding RNA, 1381 nt
Filed under: Hevea brasiliensis (rubber tree)
Lineage: Eukaryota; Viridiplantae; Streptophyta; Magnoliopsida; Malpighiales; Euphorbiaceae
Source: RNAcentral